CCUACGGGAGGCAGCAGUGAGGAAUAUUGGUCAAUGGGCUUACGCCUGAACCAGCCAAGUCGCGUGAGGGAAGACUGCCCUAUGGGUUGUAAACCUCUUUUGUCAGGGAGCAACGCCGGCUACGUGUAGCCGGUCUGAGAGUACCUGAAGAAAAAGCAUCGGCUAACUCCGUGCCAGCAGCCGCGGUAAUACGGAGGAUGCGAGCGUUAUCCGGAUUUAUUGGGUUUAAAGGGUGCGUAGGCGGAAUGCCAAGUCAGCGGUAAAAUCGCGGGGCUCAACCUCGCUCCGCCGUUGAAACUGGCGUUCUUGAGUGGGCGAGAAGUAUGCGGAAUGCGUGGUGUAGCGGUGAAAUGCAUAGAUAUCACGCAGAACUCCGAUUGCGAAGGCAGCAUACCGGCGCCCAACUGACGCUGAAGCACGAAAGCGUGGGUAUCGAACAGGAUUAGAUACCCCUGUAGUC
This 460-nucleotide ribosomal RNA is filed under the name uncultured bacterium. RNAcentral's name for it is "partial 16S ribosomal RNA". It matches the Rfam family "Bacterial small subunit ribosomal RNA", at positions 338 to 795 of the family's 1533-position model. The record is from RNAcentral.